UGGAGACCUCUUCAGUUGAUAACAAUAGAGAACAAGAGGGUCAGAGAACAGAAUCAGAUGACUCUAAAGAAGAAAAAACUGAUAUGGACAACAUGAAAGGAAACAGCUCAUCUGUUGCAGAACCUUUGCUUCAAGAGAAUGGAGCAGCUGUAAUGGAAGUUGUAGAGGAAGUGCAAAAACGCACUAGAAGAGAGAAGAGAAAUAUUGCAAAGAAUUAUAAAAAGACAGUCAACAAAAAUGGUACAAUUGAGAAUAAUUUUUAUGCAGAACACAUUACAGUUCAAUAUACUAGUCCUCCAGCAAUCCAUGAUAACCAGACACAAUGUGUUGGAAGGAAGGCAAUAAAUGGUGUAGUAAAUGGAGCAUUAAACAAAGGUUGUGGUAACCAAGUAACUGAUAACCAAAGAACAACUUCACUGUCUUCCGUUGUGUCUCUUGACUGAUGUGAAAAGUUAAAAGCAAUAUCAGCAUAAUAUUUCGAGCAUAUUAUUUAAAGAGGAAGGAAUGCCUAAAAAUGAUUUAAGAGGACCUUUCAGAUGGAAUUAACACUAAAACAUCAUUGCCUUUCCAUUUAAUGAUCAAAAUCCUGAACAACGUAAUAUACAGCUGAAUUACACAUCGUUGGAUCCUGAUUUGAUACAUAUCAUGACUUUGUGAUAUUAUUCUCAGGACUUGAAGUAUGAAGGAUCUGUUGGAUCACUUCUCUUUAUUGAUGAUUAUUUUUGUGAGAUCCUUGGCAUACUAAGUAGUGUUGUGUUAGAGUUUGACUCCAAUUGAUCUCAAAUUGCAUAGAGUGCCUUCCCUACAGAUGAUACUUGAGACAUGACAUGAGAUUGUAAAUGAAUAUGUGAGAUUGUAGAACCUUAAUGUAAAAGCAAACAAAACUGUUAAUGAAUCAUUUCUUUGGUAUUAUAAAUUAUAGUUAUGCUACUUGUUAUAUUGUUUGCAGUGGAUGGUUUUGUUGUUUAGAAUGUAUUUAAAUUGGUUGUUAUUAAAAUAAUGUUUUCUAAAUUGUUGAGAUUGUGAUAAUAGAUGAAAGAUUUAUUAGGAAUAUGUUCAUGUAGUUUUAGUCAAAAUGAAUGUAAAUGUUUCUCUGUAGAAUUUAAGUAGAAAUGAAAAUUCUGAAUGUUUUAAGUGUAUAUACAAUUGUUCAUCUCAUUUAAAUUUUCGUGUAGCUGUAUAUAUAUUUUAUAUUUUUUCUCUAGAUCAGUACCACACUGUUGCAUAUUUGACACUUUUAUAAUCUCAUUUUUUUGUAAACCCAGUUUUUGAAACUGCUUGACUGUAGUACUACGUCUGUUUGUUGAUUACCCAAGUGAUUGUUUCUCAAAGAAAGUGGUGUCAGUCAGUUGAAUUUAAUAAUUUUACAUUCCUAAGUCAUAUAGUAAAGUAUUUUAGAAGUAGAAUCUAGUAUAUUUUAGUUUUUCUAUGGAUAUAAUACUUACAUGAUAUUUUAAGCUGUGAUAGAUACGUAUUUUAUAGAAUUUAUAUUUAUGUGCAUUGGAGGCUUCUCACAGUGUCAUUUUUAAAUAUACUGUUUUAAGCUGAAACAUUUUAAAAUUGGGGAAACAUUCCUGACUGAAAGAUCUUUUUUAUCAAAAAUUUUCCUCUUUCCCAUACAAAUAUACUCAAAUUGAAACCCAUCCGCUUCUGAAAACAUAUCUAAAGUAUAUUUAGUUGGCUAAUGAAUGGGCAUUAAAUGGGCAUUAACUUAGCAUUGAGCAUUACAGAAUGUACUCCUUUAUCCCGGGUAUUGUCCAAUAUGUGCAGUAAUGUUAAAUUGUAUGAUCAUUUUCUGUGGCUGACCUUGUCCAUUUUCAAGGGACACAUAACUAUUUUUGCUGAUUUAAUAGAUCAGAAAUAUUGAAGUGAAAUCCCAAUGAACACACAAAUUUCCCAUUUAUUUUAUCUUUCACAAUUUGAAAUCCACAAAUUCAUAUCCUCACAAAAUAGCCAUUUUGACCAAAACCACAAAAUUUUGUGCCAAUGAAAUUAUAUGAUUUUACAGUAUUUUAUUAUCUUUUUUUAACUGUUUUUUAUAUACAUGUAUAGUUGUAAAGAGAAGUACGUAGUAAAAAUGACACUAUAUGAAUAAGAGAAAAUAAGCGACUUCGUAAUUUCUUGCAUAAAAAAGGAUGUUGAACUUCUAUAUUAUAAUGCACUCUUGCCAGUGAUUCCAAAGGGAAUUUUUUUUAAAAGACAAGGAAAAAGCACUGUUUUUCAAAAUUAUAUCAUUACACUGUGUUGUUAUAUAAAAGCAGUGUUAUUUAAAACUUGUUUUCACUUUAUAUCAAAAUAAGAAAUAUAUUAACAUAACAACUUUUUAAAUUAACAGGGUAUGUUGAUAUUUUUAUCCAAGAUUCAUAAAUUGAUAGAAAGGCCUUGCAAAUUUAGAUUCAGUAAUAUUUGUCCUGUGUGAAACAAUCAAAUGCAUUGCCUUCACUGGAUGUCAGCUGAUAGAUCUUUUCAGACCAGAUUUUGCAGAGCAUAUCGGUUAAAAAAUAAUGGAAAUGGUAAUUGAUAGAUGUAGGAAAUAAAUUUUGCUUAUAUAUUAAAGUUUGUACAUAUUUACUUCAGCAAAAUGUGGACCAAUUGUAUGUAGUGUGUAUUUUUUUAAAAAUAUUUAAUGCUCAAUUUUUUAAAUUUUCUUUUGUGCUGUUUUAAUAUAAAGAUAUGUAAUAUAAUUAGGUGCUUUCCUUGAAUUCAGUUUAAUUUAUAGAAAAGCUCAAGUGUGUGUAUAUCUGAAUAAUGCUUUAGUACUAUCCAUAGUCCGUUUGGGUAUGUGUAUACUGUAGUUAAAGUUUGCAUAAAUACAAUCUUUUUGAUAGAGCUAGUGUCUGUCACCUUAUGCUGCAACACUUUAAGAUACAAGGUUGAGGUUGUGAUUUCAUAUCUGUUUGGAUUUCAUUCUAUGAAAGAGCAUUUGUCAAAAUUUAAAGUUUACUUGUAAAACAUAUUUUUAAAAAUCGUAAGUUUAAAAUGUGUAGAUGUGUGUAGUAGAUAUAGUACUUGAGAUCAAUGACACAAAUAAUGGUCCUAUCUGGCAUUUAUCAAUGCACCUGUAUACACGUGUCUAGUAUCACUUGAAUGGGGGGAAUGUUACCAAGUAAGGAAAACAUCAUACAUUAUAGAGUAUGAAUCUCAUAAAGAAUCUUUAAAAAAUUGAACCAGAUCUAAAAGAUAAGUUGACUAGGUUUUAUAGAAAUGUCCUUUAUUCAGAGGUUGUCUUUAGGGUAUGUUUUCACCUAAUUGGCACUUUAUCUUCUGUUACAUUUUCUGCAGAGUUCUCUUAAAGCAAAAGUAGAUGUUAAAUUUAGCAUAACCAUUAUAUAUCACGUUUUUUAUAUAUAAACAUCUGAUCUGAAAUGUACUGUAGCAAGAUUGCAUUUGAUUGUCAAAAUUACUUUUAAUCAAAAAAGAAAAAGUCUUCAUUUUCUUUUUUUUUUUAUUUUGCUGAAGGCAUUAAACACUUCCAUGAUAUCUCUAAAAUAGUCAAAUUUGUGUUCUAUUAUUUACUAUAUUUGUGCUUUGGUUUUAAGUUAGAGAGUAGUUAUAAUUGACAAAAGAAAUGUAGUUCAUAUAAAACAUUUUAUUUAUCUAAGUAACAAUAUAUGGAGUAAAUGACUUUGUAUGCAUAUGGAAAAAAAAUUUUUUUAUACUCCCAAAAUUUUAAAGGGCACUUGUCCUUCCGUCCACUAUUUGUGUGGCAUGUAUCUUAAACGUAUUUGACCCAUAGUCAUCAAACUUCACAUGAUUGUUUUUCUGCACAGGAAGUUUGGCACUUGGGUUUUAAUUGGAUUUCACUCAGCCACACUAUAGUUAUGGCCCUUGACUUAGUCAAAAAUAUGCAUUGAAGGGCCUAAAGUUUGUGUUGCAUGUAUCUCAAAAAUAUUAGACCUAGGAUUAUAAAAUAUUAUAGGAAUGUGAUGUUGUGCACCUGGGGUUUUGUUUGCGAUAUUAGUCGGCCAGACCUAAUUUAUGACCAUUGAAUUAGUGAAAAAUAUGCAGAAAGAGGGCCUGAAAGUUAGUGCUGCAUGUUUCUCAAGAAGUCAUAGGAGAAUCUUGUUAUGUUUGUACUUUUUAACGAUGAUAUUAACCGUUUCAUAAUUUGAUCAGUCUGUGAUUAUGCGUUGUUAUGUUGCUAAUAUUGUGUUGUUCAGUAGUAAUACAUUUUCGAUGGUUAUUGUUUAAUACUUUGAACUGACUUUUGAUAAGUUUUUAUUCUGUAUUCAUGUUUUACUUUAAACUGGAUCUGGCAAAAUACUAGCCACCAGCAAUGAAAAGCCUGCUGCAGACACUUAAUCAAAAUUAAAUGCAGGUUUGUAUGUCAUAAAGUUAGUCUGCUUCCCUCUUUAUUUUCAUGUUGUUAAUCACAAUUAUUUUUAUGUUUAUAGUUUGUUUGUAGUUCUUGAUAUGAAUAAAGUUUAUUUAGGAACCUCUGUGACCAUAUGGUUAAGGUUGAUGACUUCCAACCACUUCUCUAUCACCACUGAGGGUUUAAAACCUUGCUUAAGGUGUAGAAUUUAUGUGAGAUAUCCACAGAAGCUUGUAAGUUAUACCUAGGUGCCCAAAUGUGCCUGAAAUUAUGCCCGUGGGGCACCUGGUGUCUUCCUCCACCAUCAAAAACCGAAAGUCACAGUAUGACCUAAUAUUUGUCAGUGGGACUCUAAACCUAGCAAUAAAAGACAGAAAUUAUUGUUGUUUUUAAAUGUACAUGUAAUUUGCAUAUUAAUUAAUAUUGACGUAAAAUUGGCAUGUAUGUAUAGCUGUACAAUAAUUAUUGUUUUAUAUAUAAUUUUCAUGAUUUGAAAAACAGAAAGGUAACAAAUGAUAUGUGGGAUACUUUUCUAUUGAUAAACGCAAAUGUUAAUAUCGCCGUCAUAUGUGUUUUAUGUGUAGAUACUACUAGAAGUGGGUGGGGUGAGUUGAUUUCUGACAAACAGUAAUCUUUAGCACAAUUGUGUAUUUUUUCAUAAAAGCAAGGCACUUUGUUUUGUAUUAGGUACAUAUCAACCGGUUAUUUUAAGAUGUGAACCUAUGCCACACAGCCAAUAUGACUGCCAUUUUUUUUCAAAAUGGCGACCAAGAUGGCCACCAAAGGUAAAUGUUUAUAUAUAUGAGCAUUUACGUAUGUUUUAAUGUAAUUGUACCCCCCGACAACAAAGUUGUAAGGGGGGGGAUACUGGUUUCAGGUUGUCUGUCUGUCUGUCUGUCGUCUGGUCGUCUGUCCGUCUGUCCGUAGACGCAAUCUUGUGCGCACCAUCUCUCCUUAUCCCCUUGACAGAAUUUAAUGAAACUUCACACAAGUGAUCAGUACCAACAGUAGUUGUGCAUGGGGCAUGUUAGGUUCUUUUAGAAAAACAAUUUGCAGAGUUAUGGGACUUUGUUUUUUUGUUACUAUACUAUAUACAUAGACACAAUCUUGUGCGCACCAUCUCUCCUCAUCCCCUUGACACAAUUUAAUGAAACUUCACACAAGUGAUCAGUACCAACAGUAGUUGUGCAUGGGGCAUGUUAGGUUCUUUUAGAAAAAAAAUUUGCAGAGUUAUGGGACUUUGUUUUUUUUGUUACUAUACUAUAUAUAUAGACACAAUCUUGUGCGCACCAUCUCUCCUCAUCCCCUUGACACAAUUUAAUGAAACUUCACACAAGUGAUCAGUAACAACAGUGGUUGUGCAUGGGGCAUGUUAGGUUCUUUCAGCGACAAAAAUUGCAGAAUUAUGGGACUUUGUUUCUUGUUAACAUACUAUGUACAUACAGUCUGCAUAUGCAAUCUUGUGCGUGCCUAAUCUACCAAACCCUUGCACACAAUUUAAUGAAACUUCACACAAGUGAUCAGUACCAACCCUAGUUGUGCAUGGUGCAUGUUACAUUCUUUUAGAUAAAUAUUCUGCAUAGUUAUGGGACUUUGUUUUUUGUUACUAUACUGUAUUCAUACAGUCUAUAUACACACAGUCCACAUAAUUAUGCAGUCUUGUGUGUGUCAAAUUGCAAUGUACUGUGUCAGUGCAUGAGGGGGGUACAUUCAUCACCUUUAGUGAUAGCUCUAGUUUAUUGCAGUAUUAAGAUUGAUAAAUACAAUUGAUAAUCAGACCAUAAGCCAUGUAGGCAACCUCAGAUAAACAAUAUAGCGCUUAUUUUUCAAAAUGGCUGCCAAAAGUUAAUAAUGUUACGGUUUCAUUGCAUACAUUAUAGAGUUUACAUAGUUGUUUUAUGUAGUUUAGUACAGUAUUGUGAUUGAAAAAAAAUUCCAAAACUAUUUUAAAUCAGGUUGACACCAUCUCAGACAACCAAUAAGACAGCCACUUCUCACAAUGGCCGUCAAAAAGUCAGUAUGUAUAUACAGACAAUAGGUAGCCUGGAUAUAGAGACAGAAAACAUGGGUAUCCUAGUUAUAUAGGAAAAUUAUCCUGGGUAUACAUACAUGUACAUUCCACUAUGGGUAUCUUAGUUAUACAAUCAUUCACUCUGCGUGUUUUACGCAUACAGAAAGGCCACCCUGGCUAUACAUACAGUCCACUAUGGGUACCCUGGCUAUACAUACAGGUCACUAUGGGUACAUUGUAUCAUGGGUAUACAGAAAGGCCUGUCUGGGUAUCCUGUGCAUACAGACAGGUCAUAUUGGCUACCCAUGUAUACAUACUGGCAAGUAUUGGUAUACUGAAUAUAUAGACAGGCAAUUCUGGGUAUUCUGGACAUACAGAAGGGCCAACCGAGUUUCCUUGCUUUAGAGACAGAUAACUUUGGAUAUUCUGGGUAUACAGGCAUGUCAUCCUGGCUAUACAGUUGUAUAUAUAGGCUACUAAGGGUAUCUUCAGUUUACAUACACACCAUUGUGGGUAUCGUGGGUAUAUAGACAUGCCAUCAUGGCUACACAUUCAGGUCACUUUGGGUGGCAUUGGUAUACAGACAGGUUACCUAUGUAUCCAAGGUAUAGAGCCAGGCCACUCUGUGUAGCCUGGAUAUACAAACAUGUCAUCGUGGCCGUAUAUACUGGCCAUUAUAGAUAUCCCGGGUUUACAUAUAAGCCUUUCUGGGUCAAAAACCUGGGUAUACAGGCAGACCAUUGUUGCUAUACUCUAGGCUGGUAUAUGCGUUGAGUAUGCUUGGUAUAUAGACAGGCCACCUAGGUAGGCCACCUUGAGUAUCCUGGGUAUACAAACAGGCCAUCCUGACCAUUUACUUAAUGUCACCACUAUGAAUAUCCUGGGUAUAAAUACAUGCCACCGGUGUACCCAUGGUAUAGAGGCAGGUUUAUCUGGGUAUCCUUGGUAUACUCUCAGGUCGUCUUGGCUAUAAUUACAGGCCACUAUUGGAUCUUGGGUACCGCUAUUUGUAAAGUUGCUAUAUAUAAAGACCACUCUGGCUAUAAUGGGUAUAAAUACAGGUCGUCCUGGUUAUGUAUACGGAAAACUAUGGGUAUCCUAGGUGUACAAACAGGCCUCUCGAGGUAUCCAUUGUAUACAAACGGGCUACCAGGGUUAUAUUUGUAUGCCAAUAUGGAUAUCCUUGGUCUACAGAAAGGCCGCCAAUGUAUCCAAGGUAUACACGUCACUCUGGAUAACAUGGAUAUACAUACAGGUCAGGUUAGCUAUACAAACAGAUAAACUAUGAGUGUCCGUGGCAUACAAAGAGGAAACUAUGGGUACCUUAGGUAUAGAUGCAAGCCAUUUUGGGUAUCGGGGUUAUACAGACUGACCACUUGUGUAUCCUGUGUAAUAUACAGACAGGCCAUCCUGGCUAUACAUAUAUGUCAGUUUUGACAUAUACUAAUUAUGCUUCACAACUUUACAUCGAUAGCGUAAAGUAAUGGCUCUAAGUUUGCAUGUAUACAAAGGAUACCAACUGUAGAAAUGUAAAUGGCAACGAGGACAUUAAAGUUGUGACGUCUUCUGGUAUUGUGUAUAGAGAAAAGACUAUGAGCAAGAUUGAACUGUGUGAACUACGUUGUGCAAUAUUUGAAUAAGUGUUACAUACCAAUUAUAUUCUUAAUGUUUAGAAUAUUUACAAGCUUUACUUGGACAUUUAUAAAACUGAUAAGAUUCUUAUCAAUGGUUAAGAACAGAUAUAUGUGUACUAAAUGAACGUUUUAAAUGCAUAUUUGAUACAUUUUAAUUAAUAUUCAUGAGUAUGCAAAUGAGCUGAAAAACUCUUAAUUAAUAUUUAUGAAGAACAUUAUUCCAAAAUCAAAACAUCUUACUAUCUCAAAAUAUAGUUAAUAUGUGAGAUAUGUAAAUAUUGUCAGUUUUUUAAUUUAUUUAUUUUUUUUAAUUAUUAAUACACCCCACCCACUUUUGACAGUAUUUACUCUUGCAAACGAUAAAUAAUGCUACAAACAGAUAUAUAUUUAUAUAAAGUAGUGUUUCAAAUGUGAUACUGCCUAUUUUUGUCCAUUUAUAAACACAAAUAGUGAAGAUUUGAUCUUUGCAUUAUUUGAAAAUGUCAUUUUUAACGAAUUAUCUGCCUUUUUUUUUUAAGUUUUCAUGAAUAUUCAUAAGUAUGUAAAUGAGAAAAUUUGAUGAAGUGUUUGUAAAUUGAAUGUACGAAGUCCUGGCUUUAUUUUGAUACCAUUAUUGUUAUUCUACUCCGAUAAAUGACCAAGAAACAAGGUAUUUUAUGUGACACGCAUGAAAAUAUGCACCGAAUGACCUUUGACCUCGUUUAUUUCACUAUAAAGGGCCUCUCAAGGGUGACUACCGGGCAAGUCUUUCUUGUGACACCUAGUAGAUAACGUUUAACAUAGUAUAGUCGUCCAUCUUCAGAGAAUGCCUACGAAAGUCACAAUUUUUGAAACUCUAGGCAUACUACUUUGAACCAUUUAGCUUUUAACUAUGAGUGGGUGCAGUUGCAUGUGUAAUUGUUACUUGGAAUGAUUCAAGGUUUAACUAUUAGUGCAAAUAUUAAUGAGAAAAGUUGAAGGUGCAAAUGUUAUUGGGACAGUUGAAGGUGUAAUUUUUUUGGGAACAGACCAGGAUGCAGCUGUUAGUGCAGCGUUACAUGGGAACAAUGUUAUUGUAUAUUGUAUAUUUGUAUGUACUGAUUAUUUUUAAUUAUAUUGGUUGUGUUUUAUAUUUGAAUCAGAUUUAUUCCAGUUACAGUUAGGGAAAUAUCAUAUUUGCUUUUGGAAACAAAUUUAACAAUCUGUUAUGUGAUAUGUUUCUAUAUAUAUUUUUGUGUCACUGUCAGAAUGUUUUGCCUUUGCUGUUGUAGAUUGAUACGAACUCAGGCCGAGAAUAUCUAUGCAAAAUAUAUCCCAUUGUUAUGAAAGAAGUGCUUCCGAUUGUAUUAUAAAUUACAGUAUUUGAUUCGACUGCCAAAAUUAUUAUAUGCUAGUAUAUUCUUCAAAAGUUUGAUUAUCUCCACAAAUAUAGUUUUUUUUACCACAUGUGGAUAAUAUGUGAAUUAUUUGCAUAGAACAUGUGAUCUAAGUGAGAAAUCCAGCUAAAAUGAACUCAUUUACUAACUUAGCUUUUAUACUGCUGCAAUGUGGUGUAUAAUGAUUGUUUUCCAGGCACUUACAUUGUGUUUUACAGAUAUAGUCCCUUCCUGAAACUGGAUAUCCCAGUUUAUAAGUCAUAUAACGUCGAUUAGGGUAUUAUCGGACAAAAUUCGUAAAAUUCAAGUUUAACACUACUUACCGUAAAC
Mercenaria mercenaria is the source of this 9645-nucleotide long non-coding RNA. RefSeq lists it as uncharacterized. NCBI's taxonomy places the organism in Eukaryota, Metazoa, Mollusca, Bivalvia, Venerida, Veneridae. The transcript has 4 exons. The record is from RefSeq and is a predicted model, not a curated record.